RNAcentral lists this ribosomal RNA (801 nucleotides) under Amanita parvivirginea. RNAcentral's name for it is "partial large subunit ribosomal RNA". It matches the Rfam family "Eukaryotic large subunit ribosomal RNA", at positions 94 to 865 of the family's 3401-position model. The record is from RNAcentral. Lineage: Eukaryota; Fungi; Basidiomycota; Agaricomycetes; Agaricales; Amanitaceae.
UGAAGCGGGAAAAGCUCAAAUUUAAAAUCUGGCGGUGUAUGCUGUCCGAAUUGUAGCCUAGAGAAGUGUUACCUGCAUUGGACUGUGUAUAAGUCUCCUGGGAUGGAGCGUCAUAGAGGGUGAGAAUCCCGUGUUUGACACAGAUUACGCGAUGCGUUGUGGUAUGCUCUCAAAGAGUUGAGUUGUUUGGGAAUGCAGCUCUAAAUGGGUGGUAAAUUCCAUCUAAAGCUAAAUAUUGGCGAGAGACCGAUAGCGAACAAGUACCGUGAGGGAAAGAUGAAAAGAACUUUGGAAAGAGAGUUAAACAGUAUGUGAAAUUGUUGAAAGGGAAACGUUUAAAGUCAGUUAUAUUGAUUAGGGAUCAGACUACCAGAUUAAAUGGUGGUCGCAUUUCCUAGUUGAUAGGUCAACAUCAGUUUGGACGGCUAGAGAAAAACAAUGGGGAAUGUGGCACCUUUUGGUGUGUUUAUAGACCCGUGUUAUAUAAAGCAGUUAAGACUGAGGAAGCAGCACGCCUUUGUUUGAAGGCAAGAGGUUUCGACUUCAUUUUCGUGCUUAGGAUGUUGGCAUAAUGAUUUUAAGCGACCCGUCUUGAAACACGGACCAAGGAGUCUAACAUGCGUGCGAGUAUUAGGGAAAUAGAAAACCCUUGUGCGUAAUGAAAGUGAUAGUUGAGAUCCCCUCAGGGGAGCAUCGAUGCCCAGACCAGAACUUUUGGGACGGAUCUGCGGUAGAGCAAGCAUGUUGGGACCCGAAAGAUGGUGAACUAUGCCUGAAUAGGGCGAAGCCAGAGGAAACUCU